GAAAGUAAGCAAGGGCAGACGGUGGAUGCCUUGGCUCUCGGAGGCGACGAAGGACGUGAUAAGCUGCGAAAAGCCCGGGGGAGGCGCAAAUAGCCGUUGAUCCCGGGAUAUCCGAAUGGGGCAACCCGGCAGGCUGAAGGCCUGUCAUCCCGAAAGGGAGGCGAACGUGGGGAACUGAAACAUCUAAGUACCCAUAGGAGGAGAAAAUAAACAAUGAUUCCGUAAGUAGUGGCGAGCGAACACGGAAGAGCCCAAACCCAUGUCGUCUAGGCGACACGGGGGUUGUAGGACCACGACGUGGCAAGAAGGAAGGGAAAUGGAACGCCUUGGAAAAGUCGGCCAUAGACGGUGAAAGCCCGGUACAUGACUCCCUUACGAAGCCUAGUGGUAUCCUGAGUAGCGCGGGGCACGAGAAAUCUUGCGUGAAGCAGCGGGGCCCAUCCCGUAAGGCUAAAUACUCCCGAGAGACCGAUAGCGAACCAGUACCGUGAGGGAAAGGUGAAAAGAACCCCGAGCAGGGGAGUGAAAUAGACCCUGAACCCGUCUGCCUACAAGCGGUCGGAGCGUCGUAAUGACGUGACGGCGUGCCUUUUGCAUAAUGAACCUACGAGUUACCUUCCCCGGCAAGGUUAAGUUCUUGAGGAACGGAGCCGAAGCGAAAGCGAGUCUGAACAGGGCGCCAAGUCGGGGGGGGUAGACGCGAAACCGAGUGAUCUACCCUUGGCCAGGUUGAAGGUUGGGUAACACCAACUGGAGGACCGGAUGGGUAAGCGUUGAAAAGCUUUCCAAUGAGCUGAGGGUAGGGGUGAAAGGCUAAUCAAACUCGGAGAUAGCUCGUACUCCCCGAAAUGCAUUUAGGUGCAGCCUCUUUAUAGUAUAUCGUGAGGUAGAGCGACUGAUUGGAUGCGAGGGCUUCACCGCCUAUCAAGUCCAGAUAAACUCCGAAUGCGCGAUAUAUAUUUACAGGGAGUGAGGGCGCGGGUGCUAAGGUCCGUGUCCGAGAGGAGAAGAAUCCAGACCACCGGCUAAGGCCCCCAAAUGAUCGUUAAGUUGAACUAACGAGGUCGGAUCGCAGAGACAGCUAGGAUGUUGGCUUGGAAGCAGCCAUUCAUUUAAAGAGUGCGUAACAGCUCACUAGUCGAGCGAUCUGGCGUGGAUAAUAAUCGGGCAUAAACGAUCUGCCGAAGCCGUGGAUGUCGCAAGACAUGGUAGGGGAGCAUUCCAUGCCGCGUCGAAGAUGAGGGAUGACCCUUGUUGGAGCGCAUGGAAAAGCAAAUGUAGGUAUGAGUAACGAUAAGGGGGGCGAGAAACCCCCCCGCCGAAAGACCAAGGUUUCCUGAUCAACGCUAAUCGGAUCAGGGUGAGUCGGGACCUAAGGCAAAGCCGAACGGCGCCGCCGAUGGAAGAAUGGGUUAAUAUUCCCAUACUGCCUCAUGGAGUGACGUGGAGACGGAGAAGUGACAGUCCUGCCGGCUGACGGAAUAGCCGGUUGAAGGGUGUAGAUAUUGAUUCCCGUAGGCAAAUCCGCGGGGAGAGUCGAACCUGAGAGUAUACGGAGCGCUUGCGCAACGUAAUAUGGACGUAACCAUGCUCCCGAGAAAAUCCGCUAAACUUAUCCAUGCGGCACCCGUACCGUAAACGGACACACGUGGUCGGGUUGAGAAUACUGAGGCGCUCGAGUGAUUCACGGUUAAGGAACUAGGCAAAUUGACCCUGUAACUUCGGGAUAAAGGGUCCUCGUCGUAAGGCGAGGCGCAGAGAAUAGGUCCAGGCAACUGUUUAACAAAAACACAUGGCUGUGCUAAAUGGAAACAUGAUGUAUACAGCCUGACACCUGCCCGGUGCUGGAAGGUUAAGAGGAGAUGUCAUCGCAAGAGAAGCGUUGAAUUGAAGCCCCAGUAAACGGCGGCCGUAACUAUAACGGUCCUAAGGUAGCGAAAUUCCUUGUC
Molecule: ribosomal RNA, 1949 nt
Filed under: metagenome
Also listed under: 1 other name
Description: bacterial LSU rRNA
Rfam family: Bacterial large subunit ribosomal RNA
Source: RNAcentral